GGUCGUGUAGCUCAGUUGGAUAGAGCGUUGGCCUCCGAAGCCAAAGGCCCCGCGUUCGAGUCGCGGCACGACCG
Molecule: transfer RNA, 74 nt
Filed under: Myxococcales bacterium
Lineage: Bacteria; Pseudomonadati; Myxococcota; Myxococcia; Myxococcales
Description: tRNA-Arg
Rfam family: tRNA
About the family: Transfer RNA (tRNA) molecules are approximately 80 nucleotides in length.
Source: RNAcentral